AUUGAACGCUAGCGGGAUGCUUUACACAUGCAAGUCGAACGGCAGCGCGGACUUCGGUCUGGCGGCGAGUGGCGAACGGGUGAAUAAUGUAUCGGAACGUGCCCAGUAGCGGGGGAUAACUACGCGAAAGCGUAGCUAAAACCGCAUACGCCCUACGGUGGAAAGCAGGGGAUCGUAAGACCUUGCACUAUUGGAUCGGCCGAGAUCGGAUUAGCUAGUUGGUGAGGUAACGGCUCACCAAGGCGACGAUCCGUAGCUGGUUUGAGAGGACGACCAGCCACAUUGGGACGGAAACAGGGACCAGAGGCCUGCGGGAGGCAGCAGUGGGGAAUGUUGGACAGUGGGGGGAAACCUGAUCCAGCGGUCCCGCGUGUGCGGUGAAGGCCUUCGGGUUGGAAAGCACGUUUGGGAGGAAAGAAACGUCUCGAGCUAAGACGCAGUGGAACGGGCGGUACCUGCAGGAUGAGGACCGGGUAACUAACUG
RNAcentral lists this ribosomal RNA (484 nucleotides) under uncultured bacterium. Its description in RNAcentral is "partial 16S ribosomal RNA". It matches the Rfam family "Bacterial small subunit ribosomal RNA", at positions 29 to 507 of the family's 1533-position model. The record is from RNAcentral.